Molecule: small RNA, 3814 nt
Filed under: Pongo abelii (Sumatran orangutan)
Lineage: Eukaryota; Metazoa; Chordata; Mammalia; Primates; Hominidae
Description: retained intron
Source: RNAcentral
AUCGGCUGUGGGGAGUAUCGGCUGCAGUCGGAUGUGCCGGGAGGGUAGGAUGGCGCCUGGCCGAUGCGGUGAUAGCACCGAAAGCAGCCGGCCGCCAAGCGCUCCCCCCACCCCCCGAAGUUUCUCCCCAGCGGUGGGGGAUGGGGGUAGGCGGUUCCUCUGUUCUUUCUGCGUUCCCCGCGGCCCCGCACCACAGAGACGUGGGCCUCCACCGUCCUAGCCCUCCCGCCCUGUUCUCUAGUGCAGACUAGAGCGUCUCCUCGCCAUUUCCUGUCGCCCUGGGGCCCCGCGGGGAAAAAGGGGGAGUAGAGGACAGUAGAGGGAAGUCGCGAGCUUGGGUGGUGUGUAGACGCCGGAAGUGUUGGGAAGAAGGCCGGAAGCUAGGGGCGGGGCCAGGAAGUGAGGGGGGGCGGGGGUUUAUGAGGAGUCCAAGAGAGCAUUGGGGCAGAUUUGCACUCAGAGCCACCUGAGGGACUUGGCGGUGGCUCUCAGCACUGUCCCCUCCCCUCGCAGAGACACGGUUGUCGUUUGGGAGUAGGGAACACUGUGUGGCGGGGUGGGUUGUCGGGAGGACGUCUCUCUGGCUGCUCUUGGGGCGAGGUGUGGAGGGGCAGGGCUGGGGGUGGAGCCGGGUCGCCAGGGCGUCGGUAGGGAAGACCCCCGCCCCUCGCCCCCCCACCGAACCUCUACACUGGCUGGCUGGACACUAAGAUGGCUGCCGUUGCCAUGACACCCAACCCUGUGCAGACCCUUCAGGAGGAGGCGGUGUGCGCCAUCUGCCUCGAUUACUUCACGGACCCCGUGUCCAUCGGCUGCGGGCACAACUUCUGCCGAGUUUGUGUAACCCAGUUGUGGGGUGGGGAGGAUGAGGAGGACAGGGAUGAGUUAGAUCGGGAGGAGGAGGAGGAGGAUGGAGAGGAGGAGGAAGUAGAGGCUGUGGGGGCUGGCGCGGGGUGGGACACCCCCAUGCGGGAUGAAGACUACGAGGGUGACAUGGAGGAGGAGGUCGAGGAGGAAGAAGAGGGUGUGUUCUGGACCAGUGGCAUGAGCAGGUCCAGCUGGGACAACAUGGACUAUGUGUGGGAGGAGGAGGACGAGGAGGAAGACCUGGACUACUACUUGGGGGACAUGGAGGAGGACCUGAGGGGGGAGGAUGAGGAGGACGAGGAGGAAGUGCUGGAGGAGGAUGAGGAAGAGGAUCUAGACCCCGUCACCCCACUGCCCCCGCCUCCAGCCCCUCGGAGGUGCUUCACAUGCCCUCAGUGCCGAAAGAGCUUUCCUCGGCGGAGCUUCCGCCCCAACCUGCAGCUGGCCAAUAUGGUCCAGGUGAUUCGGCAGAUGCACCCAACCCCUGGUCGAGGGACCCGCGUGACCGAUCAGGGCAUCUGUCCCAAACACCAAGAAGCCCUGAAGCUCUUCUGCGAGGUAGACGAAGAGGCCAUCUGUGUGGUGUGCCGAGAAUCCAGGAGCCACAAACAGCACAGCGUGGUGCCAUUGGAGGAGGUGGUGCAGGAGUACAAGGCCAAACUGCAGGGGCACGUGGAACCACUGAGGAAGCACCUGGAGGCUGUGCAGAAGAUGAAAGCCAAGGAGGAGAGGCGAGUGACAGAACUGAAGAGCCAGAUGAAGUCAGAGCUGGCAGCGGUGGCCUCAGAGUUUGGGCGACUGACACGGUUUCUGGCCGAAGAGCAGGCAGGGCUGGAACGGCGUCUCAGAGAGAUGCAUGAAGCCCAGCUGGGGCGUGCAGGAGCCGCGGCUAGUCGCCUUGCAGAGCAGGCCGCCCAGCUCAGCCGCCUGCUGGCUGAGGCCCAGGAGCGGAGCCAGCAGGGGGGUCUCCGGCUGCUCCAGGACAUCAAGGAGACUUUCAAUAGGUGUGUUCCCACUCUUUGCCCUUUGUGACCCAGUGGCAUCUGGUUCCCUGUCCCUGCUUCUCUUGGGUAUCCCUCUCCUCUCCUUCCUUCCCCAGGACCUGAGUUUCCAUCUCCUGGACCCUCCUCUCCUUCCCCUCAGCUUUUGCUCUUCCCUCUGGGAAUAUCAUGGUCCCACCCCCUGCCCGGUCCCCUUCCUCCAGGUGUGAAGAGGUACAGCUGCAGCCCCCAGAGGUCUGGUCCCCUGACCCGUGCCAACCCCAUAGCCAUGACUUCCUGACAGAUGCCAUCGUGAGGAAAAUGAGCCGGAUGUUCUGUCAGGCUGCGAGAGUGGACCUGACGCUGGACCCUGACACGGCUCACCCGGCCCUGAUGCUGUCCCCUGACCGCCGGGGGGUCCGCCUGGCAGAGCGGCGGCAGGAGGUUGCUGACCAUCCCAAGCGCUUCUCGGCUGACUGCUGCGUACUGGGGGCCCAGGGCUUCCGCUCUGGCCGGCACUACUGGGAGGUAGAGGUGGGCGGGCGGCGGGGAUGGGCAGUGGGCGCUGCCCGUGAAUCAACCCAUCAUAAGGAAAAGGUGGGCCCUGGGGGUUCCUCUGUGGGCAGCGGGGAUGCCAGCUCCUCGCGCCAUCACCAUCGCCGCCGCCGGCUCCACCUGCCCCAGCAGCCCCUGCUCCAGCGGGAAGUGUGGUGCGUGGGCACCAACGGCAAACGCUAUCAGGCCCAGAGCUCCACAGAACAGACGCUGCUGAGCCCCAGUGAGAAACCACGGCGCUUUGGCGUGUACCUGGACUAUGAAGCUGGGCGCCUGGGCUUCUACAACGCAGAGACUCUAGCCCACGUGCACACCUUCUCGGCUGCCUUCCUGGGCGAGCGUGUCUUUCCUUUCUUCCGGGUGCUCUCCAAGGGCACCCGCAUCAAGCUCUGCCCUUGAUUAUCCUGCCACCCGCAGGGGCCCCUCUGUCAGCACUUGGGGGGCGGGUGGUGGAGGGUGGCCCAUAAGUUUGAGGGCUCAAAGGCUCUUCCCACUGUUUGUUACUGUGUUGCUUUCCACUCCCCCUUGACCCCAGGCCCCUGCUUCUCCCUCUAGGAGCCUAAAGAACCCUCCUGGCCUCCAGCUCGGCCUUCUCUCACCUACUAUGUCUGUCCAACAGGUCUGCAUGGGUCCCUGAUAAUGAGAACAGCUGCCUGGUCUUCUCUCCCAGUCUGCCUAGCCCAGCCCUGGGACUGGAAUUUGAGUAGGGGAUGAGGGGAAAUUGUAAUUUCAUUCCUUAACUUCCUUUUCCCCACCCCUGCUCUUCAACCUCUCUAUCAGUUGUGAGGCUGGAGGGUUUGGGCAAGGCAACAUCCCCAUUCCAAUUCCAUUUUCUGAUGCAGAUUUUAGCUGAGGGAGUUGGAAGCCAUUUGGGGAGGCAGGCUGGGCCAAAGGGUAGAGCUGGGUAAUAAAUGUCUAUUCUCCUGGGGAGGAGGGAUUCUAAACUUUCCUUCCGUCCUCAAUUUCUACCUCCAUAGACCGGCCAGAAUUUAGCUUCACUUGAGAGAGAUCUGGAAUGGUCGCCAUGAUUGAAACCACGCACCAUUACAUCACCCAAUAAAUUAUUUCUUCCCCCUUCCCUUUUCCAGCACUCAACCGAGGAGCAAAGCUCAUCUCACCCCACACCCCUCCCAGGUCUGCUCACUGCCAGGCUCCUCUCCCCUUUGUUCAGUGGAGCUGGCUUUUCUCCCAGCCCCUUUCCAUGCCUUUCAUUCCAUUUGGCAAGCCCUGAGGGGGAGCCUGGGGACAGGUUUGGGUCCCCAAGAGGAGAGCCUUGGGUAUAAUCUAUUUUUCUAGGAGCCCCUUGCCUUGUCACUUGCAGCUUUCGCCCUCUGCUUUGAUGGCUGAGGUGAACUCAUGUUCUUUUGGAAAAGGGAAGGCGUGCUGUGGAAAUAAAAUGUUUAUUUGCUUCU